This is a long non-coding RNA of Eupeodes corollae, 651 nucleotides long. RefSeq lists it as uncharacterized. NCBI's taxonomy places the organism in Eukaryota, Metazoa, Arthropoda, Insecta, Diptera, Syrphidae. The transcript is spliced from 3 exons. The record is from RefSeq and is a predicted model, not a curated record.
AUGGGUUAGACAUGUAAAACAUAACCACAUGAUACCAGAACACUACAAACAUCCAUACACAUAAUAACGAAGAAACAACAAAACAUAUAAAAAAAAUCACCUAACCACCGCAAUGACAUGUAUUAACCAUCAGUAAUGAAAACUUAACACGGCCAUAAAACAAAGUUUCAUUCACAUGCAACUUAACAAUUCAACCAACUAAAACGACAAUACAAAAAACCCAGAACCCAUAUAAUCUCUCCACUAAGGAUUGAGGAUGCGGAUCCUGACCUGGCGUAAACAACAUUUAACAGAAUGUAUUUCUUUUUAGAUCAAAAACCUUAACGAUCAAGAGCUACAAGUUCAUUUAAUUGAAAAAACGAUACACCAGGAAUCAGAAGAAAACAAUGAGACUUAUUGAAAUCGGAGCUCAAGUAGCUAUGGAUUGCUAUUAUAAUAUACUUUACUACCAACUCUGUCAAGAAGAUGUACUUAAGAAUAAAAAUUGAUUUUAUAAGCAUCUACUUAGUGUUUUCAUUUCGGGUGCUGCCGAUUACAAACACUGAUAAAGAAAGCAACUUCUCUCGAGAAGUUUGGAAGGUUUGCUCAAAAUGAAGGCGUUAGUCCUCAGGUGAUUUUAUUUUAUAUUAGAUUUGUCUUAAUAUAAACGUU